RNAcentral lists this ribosomal RNA (884 nucleotides) under Mucoromycotina sp. MIB 8797. RNAcentral describes it as "SSU rRNA". It matches the Rfam family "Eukaryotic small subunit ribosomal RNA", at positions 630 to 1541 of the family's 1831-position model. Lineage: Eukaryota; Fungi; Mucoromycota; Endogonomycetes; Endogonales; Densosporaceae. The record is from RNAcentral.
GUAGUUGAAUUUUAGCCCUGGCUGGGUGGUCCACCAAUUGGCUGGCGCUGCUCUGGCUGGGGUUCACUUUCUGGCGAGCCGUCAUGCCCUUUACUGGGUGUGGCGGGGAGCCAGGACUUUUACUUUGAAAAAAUUAGAGUGUUUAAAGCAGGCCUACGCUUGAAUACAUUAGCAUGGAAUAAUAGAAUAGGACCUCGGUUCUAUUUUGUUGGUUUCUAGGACCGAAGUAAUGAUUAAUAGGGAUAGUUGGGGGCAUUAGUAUUUAGUAGCUAGAGGUGAAAUUCUUGGAUUUACGAAAGACUAACUUCUGCGAAAGCAUUUGCCAAGGAUGUUUUCAUUAAUCAAGAACGAAAGUUAGGGGAUCGAAGACGAUCAGAUACCGUCGUAGUCUUAACCAUAAACUAUGCCGACUAGGGAUCAGACGAUGUUAAUUUACUGACUCGUUUGGCACCUUAUGAGAAAUCAAAGUUUUUGGGUUCCGGGGGGAGUAUGGUCGCAAGGCUGAAACUUAAAGGAAUUGACGGAAGGGCACCACCAGGAGUGGAGCCUGCGGCUUAAUUUGACUCAACACGGGGAAACUCACCAGGUCCAGACAUAGGAAGGAUUGACAGAUUGAGAGCUCUUUCUUGAUUCUAUGGGUGGUGGUGCAUGGCCGUUCUUAGUUGGUGGAGUGAUUUGUCUGCUUAAUUGCGUUAACGAACGAGACCUUAACCCGCUAAAUAGUUAUGCCAACCUUCGUUGGUAGCCAACUUCUUAGAGGGACUGUCGGCGAUUAGCCGACGGAAGUUUUAGGCAAUAACAGGUCUGUUAUGCCCUUAGAUGUCCUGGGCCGCACGCGCGCUACACUGAUGAAGUCAACGAGUUUAUAACCUUGGCCGGAAGGU